AUGUAUAGUGAUGUUAAAUCUUGCGUAAGGAAUGGGAACGAAGUGUCAACCGUUUUUAACUGUAACAUCGGAGUGAGACAGGGAGAAAACUUAUCCCCCUUUUUAUUUGCUGUUUAUCUAAACGAUCUGGAGUCUUUCUUUGACUGAAAUGAUGUUCAGAACUUGCAAGUUAUCGAAAACAUUUGCCACAAUCAUUUGCAUAUAUAUAUUAAACUUUUCGUUCUUUUGUACGCCGAUGACACUAUAAUUAUAUCUGAAACAGCCGAAUCAAUGCAACACGCCUUAAAUGUUUUUGAAAGAUACUGUGUCCGAUGGAAGUUAAAUGUUAAUUUAUCGAAGACAAAGGUUGUUGUGUUUUGCAAACGGAAAUCAAGAACAUUACCAAAGUUUCAAAUAUUUAACCAGUCUAUUGAAAUUCAAGAUUCUUAUCCAUAUCUAGGACUAACCUUUAAUUACAAUGGUUCAUUUGCAACAGCGAAGAAACGUCUUAGCGAACAAGCACAGAAAGCUCUUUUUAGUCUCUAUACAAAGAUACGUAAUCUCUCUAUACCUGUCGACUUACAAUUACAACUGUUUGAUGCACUUGUACUUCCAAUUCUGACAUAUGGAUGUGAGAUAUGGGGAUUUGGAAAUAAUUACAUGUUGGAAAAAGUCCAUUUGCAGUUUUGCCGGAAUGUGUUGAAAAUUAGAUCGUCGACACCAAAUUUUAUGACAUAUGGAGAACUUGGUCGUACACCAAUAGAUACCGUAAUAAAAUGUAGAAUGGUGUGUUUUUGGAACAAACUUCUCACAAAUGAAAAUAAACUGAGCAGUAUACUUUAUCAAAUUAUGUUCAAAUUAAAAGAUGAUCACACUUUCAAAUGGAUGGAUUAUAUUAAAUCGAUCCUAGACAAUGCCGGACUAAGCUAUGUUUGGACUCAGCAAUCACCAUUAGAUAUAAAUCAACUAAAAAUCGUACUGAAAGAAAAACUAAAAGAUUCAUUCAUUCAACAGUGGCAUAGUCAAAUUGACAACUCAUCCAGAGGAGAAUUUUAUGGACUUUUUAAAACAAUCCUUGGACUAGAAAACUAUCUUUUAAAAUUAACACCAUUCGAACGUAAAUAUAUUUCAAAAUUAAGAUGCUGCAAUUUAAAAAUUCCAGUAGAGUUGGGAAGAUGGUAUAACAUUCCAAAAGAAGAGAGGACAUGUAAUUUGUGUUUAACUGCAAUUGGCAAUGAAUACCAUUAUUUAUUUGAAUGUAAUUCUUUAUUAGUAAAAAAUAUCAGAAAUCAGCAUAUUCCAGAGUACUAUGUGAAAUAUCCGAGUGAAGCAAAAAUGAAAGGACUACUGUCAUUGACUAAUAUUAACGUACUUAAAAACGUAUCUUUAUUCAUUUCAAAGUUAACUAAAAUAUUAUGAUAUUAAAAUAUUAUAAUAUAAGGUAAAGUAAUUUUCUAUAUACAUGUAUUUCAUUUCUAAGUUGUUUCAUUUAUUUCUUUAAUUGUAUGUGAUUGUAUUGUGUAAUUUACCUCUUGUUUCACAUGUCAAUGUGACUGAGUGUUUCUAAAAUAAAG
RNAcentral lists this long non-coding RNA (1553 nucleotides) under Mytilus galloprovincialis (Mediterranean mussel). Lineage: Eukaryota; Metazoa; Mollusca; Bivalvia; Mytilida; Mytilidae. The record is from RNAcentral.